UAACAUCAAGUCAUAUUCGACUCC
Molecule: non-coding RNA, 24 nt
Filed under: Arabidopsis thaliana (thale cress)
Lineage: Eukaryota; Viridiplantae; Streptophyta; Magnoliopsida; Brassicales; Brassicaceae
Source: RNAcentral